UUUUCACAUGACAGAGGGAGAAACUAAGAAAGGAAACCAGAAGACUCUCUGACCUCCUGUGUAUCACGGCUAUUAGUAACAGGCUUGUUCUCAUUAUUCUCAAGCCUAAUAUGCCUCAAGGAACUAUUCAGGAUAUCUUUAACGAUGUGACACUUAACAGGGAAGCAACCAACACACUUGUCCUGCUGCCAGUACUCCGCCAUCUGGUUCUAAUCAACUGGUCAUACCAUCUCCGCUAAACCAACAAACUGCCCACUUGUGUGUGUCCAGUGAAUAGAAAAGACAUUUACCGGGAAUAGACCGCCUUUUCGAACGAGGAGAAGAUGAGAAAAACAGGGCAGGAGGACUUGUCUCCAGCUGCUUCGUUAUACGCAGCGUUAAGCUUCUUGUUGCCAUUAGAGGCAACUUAUUACACACAAGUCAAGAAAAACGGAAAUGAAAUGUAUGACCUCAAGCACGGAUGGAGAAGUCGGUGACCUCACUGGAAGAGAGAGAGCAGUCAAUCACGGAACAGGCAGUCAAGAGCAACAUGAAUACUCGAUGAAUAACAUUUACUUUAUUCAACGUCAGCUAGUAAAAGUAUAACCACGAAGCUAGUUAAGAGAGAAAACCAAGUUAAGAAAUAAAAUAAGCUUCAGGCCCUUUAUCGGUAGUUAUUCAUUUUUUUAUCUAAUGUUGGAUUGUUGUGGAACUUGAUCAGCUCGAUAAUGGCGUUAUUGUAUUGAUAUUUGUCCGUUAUUGAGAUUAUUGAGUACAAGUUGGUGAGUUGCUUUGAAAUGGAUAGACUGGGCUGGAAGCAACUGGUGUUUUCUUUGUGGUUUGUUGAGUGUGUUAAGGUUCUUGUAUGAUAGAAGCUGGGUUUUGUUAAUUACUUAACUAACAUUCGAUCAUGUGAGUAUCGGUGUGGGCAGAAUGUGUGAGUUGUGAUCCUUUUCUAAGAAAAAGCAAUUCGUUAAUCUGGUGGGGGCCAUCGAUGAGUUUACUUUGGUAAAGGUCAAGUGUUUACUUGCAAACUAUUUCUGGAAGGGUUUACCGUCUUAUUUUGUUUGAACAUUUUUUGCUAAUGAGAAGAGCUUUGAAGAUUAUUCAACGGAAUAAUACCUAAUGAGAAGACCAGCGAUAAACACUUAAUCGAAGUUGUUAAAUUUUAGGCACAUCAAUGAUCAAACAUAGAAAUAAUACUCAACACAGAGCAGAGAAGAUGCUUUAUUUACAUCAAAAAGUCAUGAAGAUAAUUAAUCUACCUGACACUUGAGUUCAAGCUCUUGGUUCCUUAGUUGUGACCAACACUCCAAAUGCUCAGACCUGUAAUUAUUAGUUCACAACUUCCUUCCGUGGUGCAACCUCGCUUGUGGCCUCACCUCUUCCACCUUCCACAACACUAUUAGCAUCACACACACCAUGGUUGACGAGUGACGACACUGCUCUUAGGGCCAUCAUUACAGAGUUAUCAAAAUAACUAUAAUAAUUACAGAAUGAUCAAAGUAGCUAUAAUAAUAAUAAAAUGGAGAAGACGGAAGUCUAGUCCAGAAUCUCAAAGAAAAAAUAAAAAAAGAACCAGUGAAGAAACCCUCAGAAGAUGCCAAGAAUCUACAGCAAUGGUUCUUCCUCUAAAACCUCCAUGGUAAGUAACCCAAGAAGGAGCCCCAAUUUCUCACCGUUGCAGAUUACUAAAACUUUCAUCAGUGGGAAUCUUGACAUAGUUUCAAAAACAUAUCAGAACUAACUUCUGAAAAAACAAAUCAGAGUUUGAAUAGCUAAGAAGAAUUCAACACUGUCAGAUUCACUGCUCAGUUUUUAUAAAGAGAGAAUCUGGGAGAACUAAGCUAAAACAUUGUUAUGAAUGAAGUUCAGAUGGAACAGUCAAAUGUUUGAUGACCAUCAGAUCCUAGCACAUGUAAGUAUAAAAAGCCAAAUUUUUGUAGAAACCUGUAGAAGCGGAUGAUAGAACCAGCUAGGAGAGUCUACAGAUGAAAAUCAGUUUAUGAUCAUGAUCCCAACACUACAACAAAUAUGGGUAUUGAUAGCAGAUUAUAAUAGCACAUUUUUCGUAACUGCUAUGAAAAGGUUGUUGGAAGUUUGGGUAAUAAUAUUAUAGCAUUAAAAUUAUGCUAU
This is a long non-coding RNA of Raphanus sativus (radish), 2115 nucleotides long. RefSeq lists it as uncharacterized. The transcript is spliced from 3 exons. Lineage: Eukaryota; Viridiplantae; Streptophyta; Magnoliopsida; Brassicales; Brassicaceae. The record is from RefSeq and is a predicted model, not a curated record.